UACGUAGGGGGCAAGCGUUGUCCGGAUUUACUGGGCGUAAAGGGCUCGUAGGCGGCCAACUAAGUCAGACGUGAAAUCCCUCGGCUUAACCGGGGAACUGCGUCUGAUACUGGAUGGCUUGAAUCCGGGAGAGGGAUGCGGAAUUCCGGGUGUAGCGGUGGAAUGCGUAGAGAUCCGGAAGAACACCGGUGGCGAGGGCGGCCUGCUGGGCAGUUGCUGACACUGAGGCGCGACAGCGUGGGGAGCAAACAGG
This 253-nucleotide ribosomal RNA is filed under the name uncultured bacterium. RNAcentral's name for it is "partial 16S ribosomal RNA". It matches the Rfam family "Bacterial small subunit ribosomal RNA", at positions 524 to 776 of the family's 1533-position model. The record is from RNAcentral.